RNAcentral lists this ribosomal RNA (269 nucleotides) under uncultured bacterium. RNAcentral describes it as "partial small subunit ribosomal RNA". It matches the Rfam family "Bacterial small subunit ribosomal RNA", at positions 26 to 287 of the family's 1533-position model. The record is from RNAcentral.
AGGACGAACGCUGGCGGCGUGCCUAACACAUGCAAGUCGAACGCGCUCCAUUCGGUAGCAAUACUGAUGAAGAGCGAGUGGCGAACGGGUGAGUAGCACGUGAGCAACCUGCCCCGAAGACUGGGACAACACCGGGAAACCGGUGCUAAUACCGGAUAUCCCUAUCGGACCGCAUGAUCUGAUAAGGAAAUGGAUUCCGCUUCGGGAGGGGCUCGCGGCCUAUCAGCUAGUUGGUGGGGUAAUGGCCCACCAAGGCAUCGACGGGUAGC